GAAUGUACUAACUGUAAGUCGCUUUGGAUAAGAGCAUCUGCUAAAUGACUAAAA
Salmo salar (Atlantic salmon) is the source of this 54-nucleotide non-coding RNA. The record is from Rfam. NCBI's taxonomy places the organism in Eukaryota, Metazoa, Chordata, Actinopteri, Salmoniformes, Salmonidae.